This 281-nucleotide ribosomal RNA is filed under the name uncultured prokaryote. Its description in RNAcentral is "partial 16S ribosomal RNA". It matches the Rfam family "Bacterial small subunit ribosomal RNA", at positions 524 to 803 of the family's 1533-position model. The record is from RNAcentral.
UACGUAGGGGGCAAGCGUUAUCCGGAAUUAUUGGGCGUAAAGAGUGCGUAGGUGGUUACCUAAGCGCAAGGUUUAAUCUUGAGGCUCAACCUCAUUCUGCCUUGCGAACUAGGCUACUUGAGUGCAGGAGGGGAAAGCGGAAUUCCUAGUGUAGCGGUGAAAUGCGUAGAUAUUAGGAAGAACACCGGUGGCGAAGGCGGCUUUCUGGACUGUAACUGACACUGAGGCACGAAAGCGUGGGGAGCAAACAGGAUUAGAUACCCGGGUAGUCCCUGAGCGGG